RNAcentral lists this ribosomal RNA (467 nucleotides) under uncultured bacterium. RNAcentral's name for it is "partial 16S ribosomal RNA". It matches the Rfam family "Bacterial small subunit ribosomal RNA", at positions 28 to 506 of the family's 1533-position model. The record is from RNAcentral.
GACGAACGCUGGCGGCGUGCUUAACACAUGCAAGUCGAACGGAAAGGCCCUGCUUUUGUGGGGUGCUCGAGUGGCGAACGGGUGAGUAACACGUGAGUAACCUGCCCUUGACUUUGGGAUAACUUCAGGAAACUGGGGCUAAUACCGGAUAGGAGCUCCUGCUGCAUGGUGGGGGUUGGAAAGUUUCGGCGGUUGGGGAUGGACUCGCGGCUUAUCAGCUUGUUGGUGGGGUAGUGGCUUACCAAGGCUUUGACGGGUAGCCGGCCUGAGAGGGUGACCGGCCACAUGGGGACUGAGAUACGGCCCAGACUCCUACGGGAGGCAGCAGGGGGAAAUAUUGCACAAGGGGCGGAAGCCUGAUGCAGCAACGCCGCGGGCGAGAUGACGGCCUUCGGGUUGUAAACCGCUUUCGCCUGUGACGAAGCGUGAGUGACGGUAAUGGGUAAAGAAGCACCGGCUAACUACGU